GUUAAAUUUUGGUGGUUAGAGUUGCAAGGCCUUGUUGUUUUGGUUUGGGUGUUCGAUGUGUGAUUGGAUGUUGUUUGCAUCUGGUGUGAAUUUCAUAAGAAGUAUAGUUGCAGAAAACGUCUUGAUGGCAUGCUCUUCCAUUUUUAUUCUUUGAUUGACAUUCAAGUGUUGGUCUCCUACCUGUUGUGUUGCGUUUUGGAGCUUAAUGGAAUGGGUUAAUGAAUUUGAUGAUUUUGGUUUGAGAUGGCCUAAGUUGCCUUGGUUGUACAUGCUGUAAAUUUGUAGAAAUGAGUAAUGAAGAAGAGUUUCUGUGAAGAAAAGGCUUUCUGCGAAGUAUGAAGCAUAA
Molecule: long non-coding RNA, 346 nt
Filed under: Coffea arabica (coffee)
Lineage: Eukaryota; Viridiplantae; Streptophyta; Magnoliopsida; Gentianales; Rubiaceae
Description: long non-coding RNA (CARA_LNC004360)
Source: RNAcentral